UGCGUAGGUGGCAAGCGUUGUCCGGAAUUACUGGGUGUAAAGGGUGCGCAGGCGGGCCGACAAGUUGGAUGUGAAAUCUCCGGGCUCAACCCGGAACGCGCAUUCAAAACUGUUGGUCUUGAGUGAGGUAGAGGCUGGCGGAAUUCCCGGUGUAGCGGCGAAAUGCGUAGAGAUCGGGAGGAACACCAGUGGCGAAGGCGGCCAGCUGGGCCUUUACUGACGCUGAGGCACGAAAGCAUGGGUAGCAAACAGGAUUAGAUACCCUGGUAGUCCAUGCCGUAAACGAUGAUUGCUAGGUGUGGGGGGACUGACCCCUUCCGUGCCGGAGUUAACGCAAUAAGCAAUCCACCUGGGGAGUACGGCCGCAAGGUUGAA
RNAcentral lists this ribosomal RNA (375 nucleotides) under uncultured bacterium. RNAcentral's name for it is "bacterial SSU rRNA". It matches the Rfam family "Bacterial small subunit ribosomal RNA", at positions 524 to 898 of the family's 1533-position model. The record is from RNAcentral.